Long non-coding RNA from Mustela erminea (ermine), 148 nucleotides. RefSeq lists it as uncharacterized. The transcript is spliced from 3 exons. Lineage: Eukaryota; Metazoa; Chordata; Mammalia; Carnivora; Mustelidae. The record is from RefSeq and is a predicted model, not a curated record.
GGAUGACACCUAUCAUCCACUCAGGAAAGGGAGGAAGGUCCACACAGUAGUAUACCAUCUUCCAUGGAAGGUCACCCAUCUACAUUGGAUCUAAACUGUGUUGGGGGGGGCGCCUGGGUGGCUCAGUGGGUUAAGCCGCUGCCUUCGG